ACACGAGCGGCGAACGGCUGAGUAACACGUUGGAACCUGCCCCUUAGUGAGGGAUAACUCCGAGAAAUCGGAGCUAAUACCGCAUGUGCCUGCAAAGGUAAAGCUUCGGCGCUAAGGGAGGGGCCUGCGGCGUAUCAGGUUGUUGGUGGGGUAAUAGCUCACCAAGCCAUUGACGCGUAGCUGGUGUGAGAGCAUGACCAGCCAGAAUGGGACUGAGACACGGCCCAUACUCCUACGGGAGGCAGCAGUGAGGAAUCUUCCGCAAUGGGCGAAAGCCUGACGGAGCCAUACCGCGUGAAGGAUGACACCUUUCGGGGCGUAAACUUCUUUUCUGCAGGAAUACAUUUUGAAGGUACUGCAGGAAUAAGGGUCGGCUAACUACGUGCCAGCAGCCGCGGUAAUACGUAGGACCCAAGCGUUAUCCGAAAUUACUGGGCGUAAAGCGAUCGAAGGUGGACAAAUAAGUCUGGUGUAAAAUUUUGCGGCUCAACCGCAAAAGCGUACUGGAAACUAUUUAUCUAGAGGAAGACAGAGGUAGAUGGAAUUCUCAUUGUAGGGGUAAAAUCCGUUGAUAAUGAGAGGAACACCAAAAGCGAAGGCAGUCUACUGGGUCUUUCCUGACACUGUGCGAUCGAAAGCGUGGGGAGCAAAAGGGAUUAGAUACCCCUGUAGUCCACGCCGUAAACGAUGGAUACUCGGUGUAGGUAGUUUUAAUCGCUAUCUGUGCCCUAGCAAACGCGUUAAGUAUCCCGCCUGAGUAGUACGACCGCGAGGUUAAAACUCAAAGGAAUAGACGGGGAUCCACACAAGCGGUGGAGCAUGUGGUUUAAUUCGACAAUAAGCGA
Molecule: ribosomal RNA, 845 nt
Filed under: uncultured organism
Description: bacterial SSU rRNA
Rfam family: Bacterial small subunit ribosomal RNA
Source: RNAcentral